This is a long non-coding RNA of Cercocebus atys (sooty mangabey), 3428 nucleotides long. RefSeq lists it as uncharacterized. The transcript has 3 exons. The record is from RefSeq and is a predicted model, not a curated record. NCBI's taxonomy places the organism in Eukaryota, Metazoa, Chordata, Mammalia, Primates, Cercopithecidae.
GUUUUAUUUUCCAGAUUUAAGGAAUCCUGUUCCUCUUUUCUCUUAAGCUAUCCGUAACUUACAGCAAUUUGGUAAAGUAUAUCUUUGUGAACAGAGAUGAAAUAUUUAUUGUUUUUCCCUACCUGGUCUUUUCAAAAUUUGUAAACUAUUAUUAAGUAUUCUUAUCAUCCUGGCAAUAUAAUUAUUUGCAUAAGUUCGAUAAGAAUCUGUUCUCCUUGUAACAGAAUAGAAUUGGAAAAAUUAGUUGUUUUACUAAGGCUUUGACUGGAAUGUCAUAUCAGAAAAUGAUGUGCAUAGAAGCUGGCUUUAAGAAACAACAAUAGAUUUUAUGGGGUCGAUGCUUACAAAGCCCUCUUGGGAAACCUGGCCUGGUACCUGGCUCAUAGCGUUCCCAGUUUUACAUCUACGUAAGGAGAUCACUUUUUGGCAGGCUCAGGAACCUCAGGAUAUUGUGGGAAUCUCAAGAAAAGAGGAAUUCUCUGAAAUCUGUGGUUACCACAAGAGAAAUCUGGUGGUGAGUUCUUGGCUUGGCUUCCUGGGCUCAAGGGGCUUUGAAAAAAUCUAAUCUAAAAUUCCUUAUUAAAGGUCUACUUGGUCAAUGACUCUUGCUGCACUUAUGUAAAUAAUCAGGCUUAAUCUAAUGAGAUUAGAUUCAUUUUGUAAACGAGGUCCAAAGGAGGGUGAUUGUAGAAAUUUUGUUUCCGUGGAAAAUUAUCAUGCACCCUUGUGGGCAUUAGAUUAUAAUCCUGUUCAUUUGAGUGAUUUUUUGCCUCUUUGUAAACUUCAUUUUCUCCCUUGUUAUCCAUGUAUAAACUGGACUAUAUCCUGAAUUAUUCUAGUUUCUUCCAUAUCUGGUUACAAUUCUCCAAACUAAUGUUUCCAUUUUUUUCCCACUCUCCUGACUUGGCAUCGCUGAUAAUUAAAACUUCCCUUUUCCUGAAGCAUUACAAGCUGAGGCUAGAUGAGUUAUCAUAAACUACCAAAAAAAUCACAGCAGAUCAUGUACUGACAACCUCCAUGCCUGCUGCUGUUUGGGCCACUCAGGCAGUUCACCCAAACACCCAAUGCCAUCACCAAAGACAUCCCAGUUACAAGCCAGGAUAUUUGUCAGAUGACCACUGCUGUCCUCCUUCUACCGCCUGAAGAGACUUGGAGCACAACAUUUUAAAAUCUUUUUGACUGGCUGCUUUUAGGACUCAAAAGCUGGCAUGACUAAUAAUCUUUGUUUUUAUUCUGUUUCCACAGAAAUUUUCCUCAUUAAAUGCCUGAAUGCUUGCACCAUACAGCAAAUAUCUUCUGCUAUUAGGUCCCAACAGGUGACUCAGCUGGCUGUUAAUGAACAGUUUGGUCAAAGGUAUUCAGUAUCCUGCUAAUUGUAAUCCGAUCUCCCCUGGAGAGAAAAUGAAGCUGCUCGCCUUCAUGAUUUUGUCUGGAAUCUGGAUGAUCUUUUGCCUGGACAAUGGUCAACACGCAAUUUGGCUUUGAAGAGUCGGGCCCACAAUCUCAAUUGUGAUACAGAGAAGAGCCCACAUUUCUACUCAGAUUUUUGCUAUAAAGAUAGACUUCGUAUCUAAAAUAAUAAAGAAUUAAUUGAUACCUCACGUAAGUUGAAUCAUGCAAUCUGUCCUUCUGUGACUAGCUUAUUUCACUUAGCAUAACUCCCUCUAGGUCCAUCUAUUUCACCUAUAUGAUGUAUCUAAGAUACUUAAAUGCAUAGAAGCUGAAAAUAGGAUGGUGGUUGCUAGGGGUUGGCAGGAGGGGAAGAAUGGGGAAUUGUUGCUCAACAGGUAUAAAAUUUCAAUUAUGCAAGAUGAGUAAGUUCUAGAAAUCUUCUGUACAACACAGGGACUAUAGGUAACAAUAUGGUAUUAGAUACUUAGUAAUCUGUUAAGAGGAUAAAUCUCAAGUUGACUGUUCUUAUCACAAAACAAAACAACAUAAAAUAUAAUGACAAAAGCAAAAUAUAAAAGAAUACAAGGAAAUUCUGGGAGGUGAUGGAUGUGUUUAAUAACUUGAUUUCGGUGAUGGUAUCUCUGAUGCAUGACUUGGUCCAAACUGAUCAAACUUGCAGUAUGGUUUUUCUGUAUAUUAAUUAUACCUCAGUAAAGCUGUUAAAAAUUAAUUCAUGCUGAUAUAAACUUUAAAAAAUUUGAGAUGCAAUUAAAAUGCAAGAUUUAAAGAAAUGUGAACACUGGUUGAAAAUUAGUGAGAAAACAUCUAAUUCUGCCAGUCAUCUCUGUUUCUCAUUUAUGUCAUGCUACUUCUAUCUAGAUCAGAGCAAACUCAUUCUGAAACUGUCUUGCUUUUAGGUUCUGUCUUUCCAGGACCCAUAGCCAGGAGCUGCUUUCCACUUAUAGACACAAGUGGCUCACUCACUCUUCUAGGUGUUAGCUAGCAGGGGCAGAGCUUUCUCAGGUAUUUUAGGAUUUGUUGUUGGAAGGUCUCUGCUAUGUUCCUGAAAAUUCAUUUUAUCCCCUUUUUCCUUUGCGACAUAGAAAGAGGAAGAAACAGUUACGUAGAUUGUUCUGUGCGAAUCCUCUUAUAAUUUUUAUCACCACAAUCACCAGCUUCCCUGCAGUUUCAUUUCACUUUUCUUUUACCUUAUUAGUGUGUUAUUGUUAAUUUAAACAUAAAGAUAUGACUUACUCAUUAAACACUGCUCUGCUGGUUCCCCUAGCAAUGGUCCUAAAAGGUUUCCAGAUCAUUUACAAACCUACAUCUAAUUCAAUCUGAUUUUAGUUACAGUCCAAACUUAUUAUUACAUACGUUUUAAAGCAUAUUUAAACAUAGCAUCAUUUGUAGUUUAAAAACAGAGAUGUAAAAUAACUUUGAAAAGAGGAAACUGAAGCUUUGUAAUCAUGUAGAUAUACUACCUGAAUGACUUACUGAUAAUUUCACUUUUUAAGUACCUUUUACUAAAAUUAGCCCGUAUGUUUUUGUUUGGUUUGUAAGGUGUAUAACUGAGUGUCAGAUCCUUAAGGGCGCUCAGUCCUCAUGGAGUUUAUAAUCAAGUAAGAGUCAGGUGAUCAUUUCACUGCCAUUACAAUAUUCAUCAAAUAUAAAUGACAUUCUUUAAAUUCACCUCUGUUAGACUGACUCACUGAAAUCAAACCUUGUCAUUCCCUAGGGAACAUAUUCCAAUUUAUGGCCAGGAUGCUGAAUGCUCACAGCUAGUAAAUUAUUUUUUACUAAGUUGCAGUGAGGCACCUGCUUGCUAAGAAUUAGUUGUUGGUUCCCAAACCUAUUUAUGCCAGUUGUAUAUAUUUCUGUAAUAAUACAUUAUAAACAAAUAUUAUAGAAACUAAUGACCUUGUGAAUAAAAGAGUGUCUUAUUUCUAUGAAGACUAAGUUGAAGUCUUUUGAAAGGUUAUAAUAAAGGUAAUAAAAAUAAUCAUAUUAAAUUAUGUGUGGGCAAGAUGACUACAAAA